RNAcentral lists this non-coding RNA (62 nucleotides) under Tetragenococcus muriaticus. Its description in RNAcentral is "Fluoride sequence". It matches the Rfam family "Fluoride riboswitch aptamer (crcB RNA motif)". Lineage: Bacteria; Bacillati; Bacillota; Bacilli; Lactobacillales; Enterococcaceae. The record is from RNAcentral. RNAcentral also lists the same sequence under 1 other name.
AUCUAAAAAAGGGAUGGUACUCCCUAUAAUUACCAGAAGUGGUUAAUGGUGCCUAUUAUAAG